Molecule: long non-coding RNA, 719 nt
Organism: Gallus gallus (chicken)
Lineage: Eukaryota; Metazoa; Chordata; Aves; Galliformes; Phasianidae
Exons: 3
Source: RefSeq, a predicted model, not a curated record
CAUGGAGCUGUAGCGAGGCUGCGUCAGUGUAAAAGAGCAGAAAUCCCCGGAGGUGUGAAGAAUCUCCGUGUGUUUUUUAAUGAAGAACAAACUCACUGUUCAGUUGUGAGGGAAUUAAUUCAUGCCUCUUAGUCGGUGUCAUUCUCUCCAUGGAGCUGCAAUUGAAAGGGAUGCUUCUGGUGUGAUGUGCGGCCCCCUCCCGCGUUCUCAGAAGAACCAAGUUGGCAAGGCCUGGCUCCGGGUUGGUGAGCUGUGCCCAAGGUGAGAGAGUUGACUCUUGUGGGCUUUGAGACAUUUCUUCCAGUUGCACGCUGUGUUAUUUCCGUUGUGUUGACCUCUUGAGCUCCAGCCCCAAGUGAGGAUCCGAGCAGUAGUGCAGAAGGGACGGUUUAGACUGGAAGUGCAACGCAAAGGGCGGGAGCUAGCAGGAGCAGGGAAGUGAUCAUCCCCCUGUACUCAGCACUGGUGCUGGACAUAGCCGGGAACGGGACUGGGGGAUAUGCCAGCAGUGGGUUCCUACCUCAGCAGAACGGAAGGGCUGUUCUGAUGGUUGUAUUGAACUGGAGUGAAUCUGACGCUGAUGAGAGAGAUGAGGGGUGUGUGGAAAAAAAGGAGUGUGCUGCAUUUUGUGGUGCAAGAUGUUCUGGGAACUGCUGCUAGCAAUGCCCAGCAGGCUUCCUUUUGCUGGGGAGAGGUUUAGCAAGGAUUUUUUUAUAUGA